GCCAGCAGCCAUAUCACCCUGCAACCCACUGACGCUCAGCAGGUGUGAGCCUGGUCAGUACCUGGAUGGGAGACCUCCUGGGAAAAACUAAGGUUGCUGCUGGAA
This 105-nucleotide ribosomal RNA is filed under the name Lepisosteus oculatus (spotted gar). The record is from RNAcentral. Lineage: Eukaryota; Metazoa; Chordata; Actinopteri; Semionotiformes; Lepisosteidae.